This 648-nucleotide ribosomal RNA is filed under the name Inquilinus ginsengisoli. RNAcentral's name for it is "bacterial SSU rRNA". It matches the Rfam family "Bacterial small subunit ribosomal RNA", at positions 61 to 757 of the family's 1533-position model. The record is from RNAcentral. Lineage: Bacteria; Pseudomonadati; Pseudomonadota; Alphaproteobacteria; Rhodospirillales; Rhodospirillaceae.
GUCGAACGCUCCGCAAGGGGAGUGGCGCACGGGUGAGUAACACGUGGGAACCUACCUUCUGGUACGGAACAACCAAGGGAAACUUUGGCUAAUACCGUAUACGACCUCCGGGUGAAAGAUUUAUCGCCGGAAGAGGGGCCCGCGUCCGAUUAGGUAGUUGGUGAGGUAACGGCUCACCAAGCCGACGAUCGGUAGCUGGUCUGAGAGGAUGACCAGCCACACUGGGACUGAGACACGGCCCAGACUCCUACGGGAGGCAGCAGUGGGGAAUAUUGGACAAUGGGCGCAAGCCUGAUCCAGCCAUGCCGCGUGAGUGAUGAAGGCCUUCGGGUUGUAAAGCUCUUUCACCCACGACGAUGAUGACGGUAGUGGGAGAAGAAGCCCCGGCUAACUUCGUGCCAGCAGCCGCGGUAAUACGAAGGGGGCAAGCGUUGUUCGGAAUGACUGGGCGUAAAGGGCGCGUAGGCGGUUCGUUGCGUCAGAUGUGAAAGCCCCGGGCUCAACCUGGGAACUGCAUUUGAUACGGGCGGGCUUGAAUCCAAGAGAGGGUGGUGGAAUUCCCAGUGUAGAGGUGAAAUUCGUAGAUAUUGGGAAGAACACCAGUGGCGAAGGCGGCCACCUGGCUUGGUAUUGACGCUGAGGCGCGAA